CCGGCGAGGGGAGUGAAAAAGAACCUGAAACCGUGUACGUACAAGCAGUGGGAGCACCCUUUGGGGUGUGACUGCGUACCUUUUGUAUAAUGGGUCAGCGACUUAUAUUCUGUAGCAAGGUUAACCGUAUAGGGGAGCCGGAGGGAAACCGAGUCUUAAUUGGGCGUUAAGUUGCAGGGUAUAGACCCGAAACCCGGUGAUCUAGCCAUGGGCAGGUUGAAGGUUGGGUAACACUAACUGGAGGACCGAACCGAC
This 255-nucleotide ribosomal RNA is filed under the name Salmonella enterica subsp. enterica serovar Muenster. RNAcentral's name for it is "partial 23S ribosomal RNA". It matches the Rfam family "Bacterial large subunit ribosomal RNA", at positions 526 to 783 of the family's 2925-position model. Lineage: Bacteria; Pseudomonadati; Pseudomonadota; Gammaproteobacteria; Enterobacterales; Enterobacteriaceae. RNAcentral also lists the same sequence under 2 other names. The record is from RNAcentral.